GUCUACGGCCAUACCUCCCUGAACACGCCCGAUCUUGUCUGAUCUCGGAAGCUAAGCAGGGUCGGGCCUGGUUAGUACUUGGAUAGGAGAAGUGGAUUUCAUACCCA
Molecule: ribosomal RNA, 107 nt
Filed under: Castor canadensis (American beaver)
Lineage: Eukaryota; Metazoa; Chordata; Mammalia; Rodentia; Castoridae
Source: RNAcentral